AUGUCCGGAGCGGGAGGCAAGUGGAUGGCCUCCUCCGUCACGGAGGGGCACAUCCAAAAGCUGCGCAGCGCCGGAUAUUUGUCCAGCAACAUCGCGCACCGGCUCCCCAACGAGGGAGAGCUCAUCCCCACCCCCAGGCCCCAUGAGAGGGUAGUAUUUUUUCCCCAUUUCCUACGUGUACUGGGCUUCCCACUCCAUCACUUUGUCCGGGGGCUCAUGUUCUACUACGGCCUGGAUUUCCAUGAUCUGGCCCCGAAUUUCAUCCUCAACAUCUCGGCGUUCAUCGUCGUGUGUGAUGCCUUCCUCUUCAUCCAGCCCCACUUCGGCUUGUGGCACAAGACCUUCAGUAUCAAGCCGAAAGUUGUGAAGGGCAGUCAAGCGGAGUGCGUAGGCGCCAUGGUGGGCAGGAUGUCCAAAGUUACUUGGCUUGAGGGCACUUUCGUGGAAACCAUUAAGGGGUGGCAAUCGGGGUGGUUCUACAUCACCGAGCCGCGUGACCCUGAAUGGUCAGCGGCCCCCGAAUUGAGAUCUGGCAUCCCCACACGGCUCACCUCCUAG
RNAcentral lists this ribosomal RNA (558 nucleotides) under Triticum aestivum (bread wheat). RNAcentral describes it as "partial small subunit ribosomal RNA". Lineage: Eukaryota; Viridiplantae; Streptophyta; Magnoliopsida; Poales; Poaceae. The record is from RNAcentral.